CCUACGGGAGGCAGCAGUGGGGAAUUUUGGACAAUGGGGGAAACCCUGAUCCAGCCAUGCCGCGUGAGUGAAGAAGGCCUUCGGGUUGUAAAGCUCUUUCGGCUGGGAAGAAAUCGCACAGGCUAAUACUCUGUGUGGAUGACGGUACCAGCACAAGAAGCACCGGCUAACUACGUGCCAGCAGCCGCGGUAAUACGUAGGGUGCGAGCGUUAAUCGGAAUUACUGGGCGUAAAGCGUGCGCAGGCGGUUGUGCAAGACAGAUGUGAAAUCCCCGGGCUCAACCUGGGAACUGCAUUUGUGACUGCACGACUAGAGUACGGCAGAGGGGGGUAGAAUUCCACGUGUAGCAGUGAAAUGCGUAGAGAUGUGGAGGAAUACCGAUGGCGAAGGCAGCCCCCUGGGUCGAUACUGACGCUCAUGCACGAAAGCGUGGGGAGCAAACAGGAUUAGAUACCCUGGUAGUCCACGCCCUAAACGAUGUCAACUAGUUGUUGGUAGGGUUAAACCUAUUAGUAACGUAGCUAACGCGUGAAGUUGACCGCCUGGGGAGUACGGUCGCAAGAUUGAAACUCAAAGGAAUUGACGG
RNAcentral lists this ribosomal RNA (587 nucleotides) under uncultured beta proteobacterium. RNAcentral's name for it is "bacterial SSU rRNA". It matches the Rfam family "Bacterial small subunit ribosomal RNA", at positions 338 to 916 of the family's 1533-position model. The record is from RNAcentral. Lineage: Bacteria; Pseudomonadati; Pseudomonadota; Betaproteobacteria.